CAAGCUGAUAGAAGACGAUAUAUAGUUACAGGUAUACCCUGGGAAAAAGGUUGUACGAAAAUAAGGUUAACGCGUGGCAUGGCGAAGCAGAAGAGUCUAUAUUUACGUCGUAGACGGGAAUAUUAAGGUGGUUGAAUAGACGCCAUAAAAGUACAACGUGAAGUUGCCGCAGGCCGCUGCGGCAAAUUUAACGGAGCGAUAAAUCUUAUUUGCUAGACACAAUGGCGUAGCGCGUACAGCUACUGUCGUCUGUAUUUAUUCAAACGACUUCGUCGAAUCGUCAAGACGUCAAGACGAAUUUUGGAUAAAAGCGAAAAAUAAUUUAGGAGUAAGUAAGUCGUGAUAUCGUACUGUAUACGUUCUGUGUGCAGUCACGCGUAUCUAUUCGUGAAUAUACUCGGAAUACGUACCAACAGAAAUAGGGGCCUGAUCGCAGGAAGGUAUUAAUUGUGAAACUUCCCGUGUGCCUACGGGAAACAUUUCUCGGCUAGUGAAUUAAAAAGGAAGGAAAUUAAAAACGCUGAGAAUUCAAGACAAAGAUAUUACUCUGACUUCCAUCACUUGUUUUAUUAUUUUCUGUCUGCUGCGUCUGCCACAGCAGAUACACUACUUUGCCUACGUGUUUAUUUUGAGAUCCCAGCGCGCAAGGCUCAAUGCGCAAGUGACUGCUGCACUUUAACUAUCGGGUGUACCAGAAAAUUUACGAGCAGCGAUAAGAUAAAUGGAAGAAUAAUUUCAUUGGGUGGCUCAGAGCGCCGUACAAGAUCGCGUGACAAGGAGCGUUCCCAAGCGAUGAAAAAUCGGCGACGGCGUUCGCCCGUAUCUGAAGGAUCAGCAACAGUGCAGUACCGAUACCGCCAGAGACGUGGAGAAAGAAAACAAAAACAGUCACCAGGGCCCCGAGAGAGUCACCGAACAAGGUUAAAACCCAAGAGAGACUCUUCGGGUCUUUUACCACGUCUGCUGGCUACAGUACCGGCAGACGUCGAGGCUUUGCCGGCCGUCGGCAGUAGUGACAGCCGUGGCAGCAGCUUGACAUACUGGCCGCCGCGCAGUCUGUCUCGGGAGAAACAAUCGAAGCUAAAAAGAAGAGUCCCACAGUAGCCACCAAUGAAUUCUAAGUGGUUCAACGCGGAGUGUCCUCGAAUCGAUUAUAGCUGAUCGUAGUGGGUUCGAUCGUUAAUAAACCUGGAUUAAUUACUAACGAGGUCAGCGACCGGCAGCGUCGGAUAAACUAGACGCCGGGACGUCUUAUCGAAAUUGACGAGCGACGUCGACGAUGCCGCAGUGUACAUAUAUAGAGUACAUACAGUGUUGCACAUAAAUAAAAUCAUAUACUCUCCCGUACACACAUGACCACACGUGUUCGGUGUGCACGUGGCGUCUAAUACCUACGUGCAUCCGUAUUAGAUUGCAGCUGUGUACAUACGUGCCUACCCAUAGUGCACUGGUGCCUGUGCUAGGGGAUCCAAGAGACUUAGGAUCAAGAGACAGUAUAAGUGACAGGAGUUCAGGAGCGUCGCGCCGGAUGCAUCGCCCUGUGCAUAUUUAAGCGUCCCGACAAAAUUUCCUAUUCGAGCGCCGCGCAGGGCGUCUGUCUACGGAUGAAGAAAGUUUGGUUACUAAGAUUUUGCUGGUACUGUACACUGAUACCAAAUUGCAGUAUCGUCAGAGGAACUGAACCUUAACCUACAAAAUAUCAUAUACGCCUCGAUGUAGUCGUACUUGGACCAAAGUGAAAACUGAAUUUCUUUCCAAAUAACAAAAAUUAUAUUUAAUCAACGCAUUCGAUGGAAGUCAAAAUGCAAUUACUAAGGAAUAUAGAACACACGGGAAUGGAUGCUUGUAUUAAAAAUUUUUCCCAAAACUACCCGUGCACGUGGUAGCCGCCCACGGGGACAGGGGCGUAUUUUUCGAAACCCAUAAUACACCGCGCGACACUGUAUCGCGACCUGAGAAAGGAUUCCAGGAGGUUUGUGACUGUACCCAAGACUUGUAUCAACGGCAGGGGACAGCGACGUCUCCUCCUUUUACAGAACCCGAUCCUGCUCGUGAAAAACCUACCCUAUCCCCAUCUCGCAAAAACUCGUUCCUGAUUCAGCAUGGAACCGAAAAACUAAGUCCUGCAGAAGACGCGCAACAGCAGAACAGACGUGCAGUAAGAACUGUCGAGGAAAGCUGGAUAUUAUAUCUGGAAUCAAAAAUAAAUCCAUCAUCCUUGCAAACGACGUGAGCAUAACCGCAAACAUGGCGGGAGUACCUUGUACGCUAGCAAAUAUAAUUUGUCAACACAAAUCUCUGCGAGAAGACCACACACCAAUAUUUUCUUUAGCAGACUGUACAUAAUCGACAAAAGAUAUUCCAACUAAACGACUGCAAGGUCGAUUGGUUGCGUAAAGUUCCCGCAAGUCCCACUACCCAAGCAUCCCCGCGCGUAAGAAACAAUAAAGCGCCACAUUGUGUCGUAGUUAAUCGUGAAGUUAGCUACGGACCGCAAAAGCCGUUACUUUGCGCGCCAUGGUUCAGAAGACUGAAUAAAUACGUGUCCAGCCUGCCACACAAUGCACCCAGCCAAUCGACCCCCUAGCGACACCUCCCGCUACGAUCAGACUUUGCACUGGAAAUCAGCCUUAAUCCUUAUCCACUAUUAAAAAACAAAGAAUCAUCCAAUCUGACAAUAAAUUUACGUCACCAACAAACGAGCGAAGGAGCCCCACGUAAAUUACUACGAAUAAACUGUGACUAGACUAUACCUAUAUAUAUCAUCAAUAAAAUCAAACCUAACCUGACGCAACCUCAUCUAGCGUAUUGCCUUUAUUACGUAUAUUAGCUUAACUGUUCUCCUUAACGUCAUGCAGCUGCCGAGCAUUCAAGAAGAACCAUUUGAGAAUACAUAUACCACAAUGUAAUUCAUUCAAAUAUAUAUAUAUAUAUAUAUUUAUACACCUGUAUACUUCUUCACCCAUGACUCAACAAAAAUCCAGUCAAUCCAUAACAAUCAAAGCCAAUGAUAACAGAUUCCCGUUUUCCCGUGAUAAAACGCCUAGUAGAUUCAUUCGGUCAUUCAUUGAUUUUAUCUGACGAAACUUAAGUCAUUCAACUGUCACUGCGCCUAACCUCUACAUACAUAACACAAAGUCAUACUACACAGUCUAGACGAUAAGUAUAUCUAUAUUGCCUUGUCUAUAUAUAUUUCAGGUACACGUGAAAGGCUGCGGUGAGGAUUAUUCCGAUUAGUGCAUGCAAGAGAGAUAGGCAGCAGUACAGGAAUUACUAGUAAUCGUACUAUAUGCAAAUACAAUAGCCAUCCGUAGAUACAAGUAUUACGGAGAAACAGAUUAAACUAUACCUAGACACCCAGGUAUACAGAUACAGACUAUAGAGGGAUAUCCAACGUACGAAGGACAAAAUAUUCCAUAGGCAAAGGUCUGAGUAUUAUUCCAGUCGAAUGAAUUUAGCUUUAGUUACGUGCCAGUACUAAAGCUAAGUUCAUACAGGGGCAAUGCUGGUUAGUCGUUAUUAUCGUGGUCGGAGUAUAGAAACGCCGUGAAGUUGGGCUGCGAGAAUUUGACGUCGACGUGUUUACAACGUCGGUGCAUUCGCGCGGACGUACCAAUGAGAAUCGCAAAGGCGCAAUGGACACUCAGGCAUAUGUG
Molecule: long non-coding RNA, 3656 nt
Organism: Cephus cinctus (wheat stem sawfly)
Lineage: Eukaryota; Metazoa; Arthropoda; Insecta; Hymenoptera; Cephidae
Exons: 4
Source: RefSeq, a predicted model, not a curated record